RNAcentral lists this long non-coding RNA (199 nucleotides) under Carica papaya (papaya). RNAcentral describes it as "long non-coding RNA (CPAP_LNC014249)". The record is from RNAcentral. Lineage: Eukaryota; Viridiplantae; Streptophyta; Magnoliopsida; Brassicales; Caricaceae.
UGGAGGAGAGGGGGGUCUUGUCCAAAAAUUUGGGAAGACCAUAUGGAAGGGCUAUGGAAGAGCAUUUGGGAUAGGAGGCAGCUAUUUCAUGAUUGUGUGUCCUGGAAGGUGGAUAGAGGGGAUAAGGUUCUCUUUUGGCGUGAUAAUUGGUUGGGCGAGGGUCGCCUGAAGGAUCGAUUCCCACAGAUCUUUGCCAUUG